RNAcentral lists this ribosomal RNA (429 nucleotides) under Actinomycetes bacterium. RNAcentral describes it as "Actinobacteria bacterium partial 16S ribosomal RNA". It matches the Rfam family "Bacterial small subunit ribosomal RNA", at positions 355 to 776 of the family's 1533-position model. Lineage: Bacteria; Bacillati; Actinomycetota; Actinomycetes. The record is from RNAcentral.
UAGGGAAUCUUCCGCAAUGGGCGAAAGCCUGACGGAGCAACGCCGCGUGAGUGAUGAAGGUCUUCGGAUCGUAAAACUCUGUUAUUAGGGAAGAACAAAUGUGUAAGUAACUAUGCACGUCUUGACGGUACCUAAUCAGAAAGCCACGGCUAACUACGUGCCAGCAGCCUCGGUAAUACGUAGGUGGCAAGCGUUAUCCGGAAUUAUUGGGCGUAAAGCGCGCGUAGGCGGUUUUUUAAGUCUGAUGUGAAAGCCCACGGCUCAACCGUGGAGGGUCAUUGGAAACUGGAAAACUUGAGUGCAGAAGAGGAAAGUGGAAUUCCAUGGGUAGCGGUGAAAUGCGCAGAGAUAUGGAGGAACACCAGUGGCGAAGGCGACUUUCUGGUCUGUAACUGACGCUGAUGUGCGAAAGCGGGGGGAUCAAAAAGG